AUGACGACCCCAUAUCCAUCCUACAUGACUGUGUAUGGAGGAGAGAAUGUUGCCAUCAGCUCCCAGUCUAGUCUGAGUCUGUACUCAAUCCCUAAGCACUACUUGGCCUGCUACCAGCAGAAAGCAGGGCAGUCUCCUAAACUGCUAAUCUACUGGUCAUUUAUUUGGAACACUGGGGACGCUGAUUACAGCAUAGGCAGUGGAUUGCAGACAGAUUUCACUCUCACCAUGAGCUGUGUCCUUGCUGAAUAUCUGGGAACUUAUUAUUGUCAACAUCAUUAUUGCACUUCAUCCUUAGUGCUUCAGCCUUCAACACAAACCUGCUCUAAGAGUCUCAACAAGUGUCUGAACCAUAAAGAGCUAUAA
This is a non-coding RNA of Microtus oregoni (creeping vole), 366 nucleotides long. The record is from the annotation of a RefSeq genome assembly. Lineage: Eukaryota; Metazoa; Chordata; Mammalia; Rodentia; Cricetidae.